CCGUGCUAGACGGGGAGGUAGCGGUGCCCUGUAACUCGCAAUCCGCUAUAGCGAGGUUGAAUUCCUGUUAGAGGUCUUGUCGAUGUGAGGUUUGGUCUUUAUGGCUGGCGUUGAUGGACGGGUCCUCCGCAAGGAACGCCUGUGAACCUGGUCAGGUCCGGAAGGAAGCAGCCAUAAGCAGUAUUGUUCCUGUGCCGGAGGGUUACCUGUCCUGAGCUAUGGCAUGAAGGUGCCGCUCGGAUCGCAAUGAUCAAUAAUGGGUGCACG
This 267-nucleotide signal recognition particle RNA is filed under the name Paenibacillus senegalimassiliensis. RNAcentral's name for it is "Bacterial large signal recognition particle RNA". It matches the Rfam family "Bacterial large signal recognition particle RNA". Rfam says of the family: The signal recognition particle (SRP) is a universally conserved ribonucleoprotein involved in the co-translational targeting of proteins to membranes. Archaeal SRP consists of a 7S RNA and homologues of the eukaryotic SRP19 and SRP54 proteins. The record is from RNAcentral. Lineage: Bacteria; Bacillati; Bacillota; Bacilli; Caryophanales; Paenibacillaceae.